CAGCCGCCGCGGUAAAACGUAGGGGGCGAGCGUUGUCCGGAAUUACUGGGCGUAAAGGGCGUGUAGGCGGUCAUUUAAGUCAGAGGUGAAAACUACCGGCUUAACCGGUAGCCUGCCUUUGAAACUGGGUGACUUGAGGACAGGAGAGGGGAGUGGAAUUCCCAGUGUAGCGGUGAAAUGCGUAGAUAUUGGGAGGAACACCAGUGGCGAAGGCGGCUCUCUGGCCUGUUUCUGACGCUGAGGCGCGAAAGCGUGGGUAGCGAACGGGAUUAGAUACCCCGGUAGUCCACGCCGUAAACGAUGGGUGCUAGGUGUAGGAGGUAUCGACCCCUUCUGUGCCGUAGUUAACACAAUAAGCACCCCGCCUGGGGAGUACGGCCGCAAGGUUGAAACUCAAAGGAAUUGACGGGGGCCCGCACAAGCGGUGGAGCAUGUGGUUUAAUUCGACGCAACGCGAAGAACCUUACCAGGGUUUGACAUCCUCUGACAGCCAUUGAAAGGUGGUUUUCUGACUUCGGUCAGACAGAGAGACAGGAGGUGCAUGGCC
This 547-nucleotide ribosomal RNA is filed under the name uncultured archaeon. RNAcentral describes it as "bacterial SSU rRNA". It matches the Rfam family "Bacterial small subunit ribosomal RNA", at positions 509 to 1050 of the family's 1533-position model. The record is from RNAcentral.